Molecule: ribosomal RNA, 423 nt
Filed under: uncultured bacterium
Lineage: Bacteria
Description: bacterial SSU rRNA
Rfam family: Bacterial small subunit ribosomal RNA
Source: RNAcentral
GGAAUAUUGGACAAUGGGCGCAAGCCUGAUCCAGCAACGCCGCGUGCAGGAUGAAGGCCUUCGGGUUGUAAACUGCUCUUGUACGGAACGAAACGGCCCUUUCUAAUACAGGGGGUUAAUGACGGUACCGUACGAAUCAGCACCGGCUAACUACGUGCCAGCAGCCGCGGUAAUCCGUAGGUUGCGAGCGUUAAUCGGAAUUACUGGGCGUAAAGCGUGCGCAGGCGGUUAUGUAAGACAGAUGUGAAAUCCCCGGGCUCAACCUGGGACCUGCAUUUGUGACUGCAUAGCUAGAGUACGGUAGAGGGGGAUGGAAUUCCGCGUGUAGCAGUGAAAUGCGUAGAUAUGCGGAGGAACACCGAUGGCGAAGGCAAUCCCCUGGACCUGUACUGACGCUCAUGCACGAAAGCGUGGGGAGCAAAC